AUGAUUUUAAAAUCCUAUUUAAUUGUAAGUUUUCAGAAUUGUUCUUUAUUAAACUGGUGCAUGGGGAUUAAAAAAAAGGCUUAGCUUGGCCUCAAAACAUUGAUAAAUCUUUUUGGAAGACAUCCAAUUUGAACUCUGAAUUUGGAAUAAAUUAGAAAUCGAAUAUUAAAUAUUUAAUAGAAUAUAAAUUAGCAUAGACAAUAGAAAGUAAAAUGACUGUUGAUAGUCUUUUUAAACUGAAUACUUGAAAGUAUGCCAUGGUAUCGCCUGGUGACGGGCCGUGCCCCAUCUGAGCCCAGCAGAAUGCACUCUUAGUGCUGACUGUUUUAAAUCUUCUCUCUCACCUUCUGUAGGGUGGAUUGUGUCCUUUGAAUAUGAUCAAUGCACUAGACUUCUUCCAGAGCCACAGUGAAUUGUGUUUUUUUAAAUAUUUUGAAUAGGUUGCAAGAACACAGUGAGGGAGCUGGAAGUCUUGUGGGGUCUUUGAAAACAGCUGUUGUGAAAACACAUUUUGUUGUUUACUCUGUAUAGUAAAGAUUUCUCCAGAGUUCCUGAAUCAGCUCAGCCAUUAGCAACCUCCGAACUCCUAGCCUUCAAAAUUCCAGCCUCAGACCUCACGACUUCUGAACUCCUGGCUUCAGAACUCUCAGCCUUGGAUCUCACAGCCUCCGACUUGC
Rhincodon typus (whale shark) is the source of this 677-nucleotide long non-coding RNA. RefSeq lists it as uncharacterized. The record is from RefSeq and is a predicted model, not a curated record. The transcript is spliced from 3 exons. NCBI's taxonomy places the organism in Eukaryota, Metazoa, Chordata, Chondrichthyes, Orectolobiformes, Rhincodontidae.